Molecule: long non-coding RNA, 1907 nt
Organism: Zalophus californianus (California sea lion)
Lineage: Eukaryota; Metazoa; Chordata; Mammalia; Carnivora; Otariidae
Exons: 3
Source: RefSeq, a predicted model, not a curated record
GAAGGCAGAGGCUUAACCAUCUGAGCCACCCAGGCGCCCUGAGUAGGCCAUCUUGAAGAAGACCCUCUGCUCCCACUCCAGCCACCCCAGCAGAUGCUGCACAGGGCAGGGAUGAGCUAUCCUCUCCAAGACCUAAGUAAUUUACAGCUUCAGGAGCAAAUACAUCCGUUUAGAUCCUUUUUAUGUUAGCAGCUGAGAGAAAUACUACUAAUCACAGACUUUUAUAUAUGAUGAAGGAUAAGCCUCUUACAAGUCUAUGUGGAAUUAUAAACACCACGUGUGACUGUACAGAAAUCUCCACUUCUCAGGACUCACUCAAGUCAGGAAUCAACUUUUCCAUCAGCACUGCCUUUCCUGCAGCGAUCAGUGCCCAGUUCAUCCAAAUCUUCCUGCCUCUCAUUUCCUCAGAAUUCUACAUUCAGAAAAACAAAUUCAACAUUUCAACUUAGUGCACAUUUGUUAGAAUACAGCUGACUAAUGGGCAUUAACAUUUCUUUUUCUCCAGAAUUUCUCCCCUUAGGUCUUUCUUGAACCUCACCAAAUUUCAAAAAUAAAACUUCCUGUUAAGUGCUCUCUCUGUUCAAGAAUCUGCUCUCACUCAGAUCAAGGGCUUUGUCAAGUGAUCCUCUCCCAGUUCAGUCUCUCUCUAGAUAGUGAUCUGUUCAAUUCUGUCUAGUCAGGUCAGACUUCUUCACUGUUCCUCACAUGUAGCAUUCAUGCCCACUCUUGUGUCUGUGUACUUCUUUUGUCCUGAAAUAUCCUCCUGCCUGGUCACAUCAAUCUUUGUUCAACGUAUAAGCAGCUAAGCAUCUGCAUAUAAAUGCAUGCAUUUGCUAAAAUAUAAUUCAAUUUCCAUUUCCCUAAUGAAGUCUCAUGUCCAUAAUGAUCUAAUUCUUAUUUAAUGUUUCACUAACUUGAAAUGGUACCUGUUCAUUUUACUUUUUAAUCAUAACUUGGUAUUGUUAAAACAUUUUUACAUUAAUUGUGCUAUUUGUGCCCUUAGGGACCUAGAAAUCUUAAAACAGUCUGAUCUUGAUUCAGAAGGCUGUGAGGAAGCAUUCAAAACUUUUGUACUACAGGGAAAUGUGAUGGGAGCUGCAAACUUUUGACUCCAUCUUCUCUCUAUAGGAUAGAUAACAAUUGGGAUACUGUACCAUUCCCAAUGUUUAAAAUUCUUUGGCAGUGUUCUAUAGGUUUCAGUUAAAUAAUGGUCUAGCACUGACCUGCCUUUACAAUCUUCUCUACUGCAAAUUUCUGCCGCUCUUCCCUCUGCUUUAUGCCCUUCACUUCUGCUACAUAGAACUCUUUCCAAAUCCAUGAACUCAUCAUGCUUCCAGGAUAAAAGAAAGAUGAGCACCCUAGAAGAAGGAGAACCUGAGAGCAGACAAUUACUUCAGUAGAAAGUAAAAUGUUUAGUCAAAUCUAUAUAUAAAUAAUCAUUCAUGAAUCUGAAAGGUAUCAGUAAGUCAUUGAUGGAAUGAGCAAUAAAAGGACUUAUAUGCAGUUAAUGGUUCAACUAAUGAAGAGGGACUGGAUUACUUGCAGGUUGGUAUUUAGGAGAAAAUUUAAAAUCCUGUUGUAUUACUACUCAUCAUAUUCUUUUAUAUGAAACUUUUGUACAUCUCUAGAUUUCUCAAAUUUUUAUGCUGGAAAGCUAAACUACUAUACCUUUUGAGCUACCUGAACGACACACUUGGACUCAUUCUGGUGGCAGUGACCAGUGUACAGACAGCACAUUAUAAAAAAAUAAAGUAGUCUCCUUAGGAAGUAGUCUGAGAUUUCACAUGUAAGUGUGAUCAGUGGCAAAAGGGAAAAAAAAUGGCCUGUGACACCUGCAACCAUGCCCAAUGGUCAUCUCAAUAAAACCAAAAAAUUGAGGAAGAACAUCCAAAAUGAUCUUUUACUUC